UUGUGGUAAAAAAUUAAUUAUGUUUGACUUAAAUAAAUGUGGAUGAAUUUCAUUGGUGCCACAUCAUCAUAGGGCACCUACCCUCAAUUUAUGUGAGGGUUAAUUAGAAAAAACCAAAAUGCAAUUAUCUAAUAAUAAUAGUAGUGACACAAUAAUAAUAUACAUAGAUCUAUCCACAGUUAACAACUAGGAUGGGUCAAAUUACCCAAUUUUGUGUGAUGGGUAGUUAAGAAUUUGCCCUGCCUAUAACGUUCUAAUGCUAAAAUCUAGACACGUGUCUUGGACUGCAUGUCUUCAAAUAUUUGAGCUUGACAGCUGUCGAAGUUGAUCUAGGCAACGAAACAAUCCUUAAAAUUUUGCUAAGUCCACAAAGCAAAGCCUUCCCGUGCAAUGUACGUUUCCUGCAUGACACAUACAAAGAAAAUAUCGAGAUCGACAAGGACUGCCAUAUGUCGAGUUCGACAGAUACAGGGAAGCAUUGUCGAGUUCGACAGGCACAACAAGGUGUCGAGUUUGACAGAUUCAACAAUACUGUCGAACUAUUUCCCUUAAUUGUACAAUGAUAAAAGUUAAGAAAACUUUCAAAAGAAUCAACACACUCUUUAAUAAAAUUUAUUGCAGAAUCUCCAUGAAUCUGAGCCUGACGAAAAUACAGGCUAACACGGUGAGGUCUGUUUCUCCGUUUCUACAACGGUGAGAUUUGUUUCUCUAUUUCUAAAACGACGGUGGAAAUCACGAAGAAGCACGGUGGAAAUUUGUCUUUUCCAUAAUCACAACACUCAUCUUGUUUCUAGUAGUGACAUUAUCAAGAAAAUAUGCUUACAAUAUUCUGUUUCUCUUACGUUAAAAUAAAAAAAUUAUGUUUCUCUCUCUCUUUUUUUUUU
RNAcentral lists this long non-coding RNA (884 nucleotides) under Trifolium pratense (red clover). RNAcentral describes it as "long non-coding RNA (TPRA_LNC014149)". The record is from RNAcentral. Lineage: Eukaryota; Viridiplantae; Streptophyta; Magnoliopsida; Fabales; Fabaceae.